This 486-nucleotide ribosomal RNA is filed under the name uncultured bacterium. RNAcentral describes it as "partial 16S ribosomal RNA". It matches the Rfam family "Bacterial small subunit ribosomal RNA", at positions 30 to 507 of the family's 1533-position model. The record is from RNAcentral.
AUUGAACGCUGGCGGCAUGCCUUACACAUGCAAGUCGAACGGCAGCACGGGUGCUUGCACCUGGUGGCGAGUGGCGAACGGGUGAGUAAUACAUCGGAACAUGUCCUGUAGCGGGGGAUAGCCCGGCGAAAGCCGGAUUAAUACCGCAUACGAUCCACGGAUGAAAGCGGGGGACCUUCGGGCCUCGCGCUAUAGGGUUGGCCGAUGGCUGAUUAGCUAGUUGGUGGGGUAAAGGCCUACCAAGGCGACGAUCAGUAGCUGGUCUGAGAGGACGACCAGCCACACUGGGACUGAGACACGGCCCAGACUCCUACGGGAGGCAGCAGUGGGGAAUUUUGGACAAUGGGCGAAAGCCUGAUCCAGCAAUGCCGCGUGUGUGAAGAAGGACUUCGGGUUGUAAAGCACUUUUGUCCGGAAAGAAAUCCUUGACUCUAAUACAGUCGGGGGAUGACGGUACCGGAAGAAUAAGCACCGGCUAACUACGUG